Molecule: ribosomal RNA, 507 nt
Filed under: uncultured bacterium
Lineage: Bacteria
Description: partial 16S ribosomal RNA
Rfam family: Bacterial small subunit ribosomal RNA
Source: RNAcentral
GACGAACGCUGGCGGCGUGCCUAAUACAUGCAAGUCGAACGCUUCUUUCCUCCCGAGUGCUUGCACUCAAUUGGAAAGAGGAGUGGCGGACGGGUGAGUAACACGUGGGUAACCUACCCAUCAGAGGGGGAUAACACUUGGAAACAGGUGCUAAUACCGCAUAACAGUUUAUGCCGCAUGGCAUAAGAGUGAAAGGCGCUUUCGGGUGUCGCUGAUGGAUGGACCCGCGGUGCAUUAGCUAGUUGGUGAGGUAACGGCUCACCAAGGCCACGAUGCAUAGCCGCCCUGAGGGGGUGCUGGCCCCACCUGGGCCUGGACCCCGCCCCAGCCUCCUACGGGAGGCCGAGGGAGGGAAUCUUCGGCAAUGGACGAAAGUCUGACCGAGCAACCCCGCGUGAGUGAAAAAGGUUUUCGGUUCGUAAAACUCUUUUUUUAGAGAAAAACAAGGACUUUAGUAACUGAACGCCCCCUGGCGGUUUUUAACCAGAAAGCCCCCGCUAACUCCGU